GGGGGAAUUUUUGGCUUCUCCAUUGGUGCCGUCCAGCGCACCAUCCAGCUGGCAGACCAGAAGCACUGCUUUGUCUGCAGCGGGAGGGGAGCUACCAUCAGCUGCGCGGAGACAGGCUGUGAGCGCAGCUUCCAUCUGCCCUGCACCGAGGACGGGCAGUGCAUCACCCAAUACUUUGGGCAGCACAGGUCCUUCUGCUGGGAGCAUCGCCCUCAGCAGGCAGCGGAGGCAGCUCC
Meleagris gallopavo (turkey) is the source of this 236-nucleotide non-coding RNA. NCBI's taxonomy places the organism in Eukaryota, Metazoa, Chordata, Aves, Galliformes, Phasianidae. The record is from RefSeq and is a predicted model, not a curated record.